This 70-nucleotide microRNA precursor is filed under the name Belgica antarctica. Its description in RNAcentral is "mir-2 microRNA precursor". It matches the Rfam family "mir-2 microRNA precursor family". Rfam says of the family: The miRNAs are transcribed as ~70nt precursors (modelled here) and subsequently processed by the Dicer enzyme to give a ~22nt product. In this case the mature sequence comes from the 3' arm of the precursor. The record is from RNAcentral. Lineage: Eukaryota; Metazoa; Arthropoda; Insecta; Diptera; Chironomidae.
AGGCUCUCAAAGUCGCUGUGAAAUGUGUUAAUUAACAGUUUCAUAUCACAGCCAGCUUUGAAGAGCUUAA